Marchantia polymorpha subsp. ruderalis is the source of this 107-nucleotide non-coding RNA. NCBI's taxonomy places the organism in Eukaryota, Viridiplantae, Streptophyta, Marchantiopsida, Marchantiales, Marchantiaceae. The record is from the annotation of a GenBank genome assembly.
GAAGUUGGAUCAUAAGAGAUGGUGAGGAUCUGGUUCAUUCUCGAAUUCAGUCUCAUAUCGAAUCAAAAGAGAACGCUCAUUCUUUCCAUCUCUCGUGACCCUUCUUC